This 236-nucleotide long non-coding RNA is filed under the name Lathyrus oleraceus (garden pea). RNAcentral describes it as "Pisum sativum (pea) long non-coding RNA (PSAT_LNC019914)". Lineage: Eukaryota; Viridiplantae; Streptophyta; Magnoliopsida; Fabales; Fabaceae. The record is from RNAcentral.
UUGCUACCAUGUUUGAGUAGAUUUUUAUAGGGUUUGAAACAAUAACGACUGGUAAAAUUCACAUGAGACUGUUUAAUUAAUUGUUGUAAUGAGAAUAAAGUAUCGUUUAUAGUUUCCAAUUUUAAUUAUUAAACUUCCUACGAAAGUAGAAGUAUAGAGAUACCGAUUAUGACUCAAAAUUGUGUAAUUGAUAUCCGACUAGGAAAUUCAAACCCUUUAAGUUUUAGGUAGCGAAA